RNAcentral lists this ribosomal RNA (509 nucleotides) under uncultured Burkholderia sp. RNAcentral's name for it is "bacterial SSU rRNA". It matches the Rfam family "Bacterial small subunit ribosomal RNA", at positions 149 to 653 of the family's 1533-position model. The record is from RNAcentral. Lineage: Bacteria; Pseudomonadati; Pseudomonadota; Betaproteobacteria; Burkholderiales; Burkholderiaceae.
CUGCGAAAGCCGGAUUAAUACCGCAUACGACCUAAGGGAGAAAGCGGGGGAUCUUCGGACCUCGCGCUAUAGGGGCGGCCGAUGGCAGAUUAGCUAGUUGGUGGGGUAAAGGCCUACCAAGGCGACGAUCUGUAGCUGGUCUGAGAGGACGACCAGCCACACUGGGACUGAGACACGGCCCAGACUCCUACGGGAGGCAGCAGUGGGGAAUUUUGGACAAUGGGGGCAACCCUGAUCCAGCAAUGCCGCGUGUGUGAAGAAGGCCUUCGGGUUGUAAAGCACUUUUGUCCGGAAAGAAAACUUGCGCCCUAAUAUGGUGUGAGGAUGACGGUACCGGAAGAAUAAGCACCGGCUAACUACGUACCAGCAGCCGCGGUAAUACGUAGGGUGCGAGCGUUAAUCGGAAUUACUGGGCGUAAAGCGUGCGCAGGCGGUCUGUUAAGACCGAUGUGAAAUCCCCGGGCUUAACCUGGGAACUGCAUUGGUGACUGGCAAGCUAGAGUAUGGCA